GCAGGUGUAGUUCAAUGGUAGAAUGUCAGCUUCCCAAGCUGAACACGUGGGUUCGAUUCCCAUCACCUGCUCCA
RNAcentral lists this transfer RNA (74 nucleotides) under Oscillospiraceae bacterium. RNAcentral's name for it is "tRNA-Gly". It matches the Rfam family "tRNA". From Rfam's summary of the family: Transfer RNA (tRNA) molecules are approximately 80 nucleotides in length. Their secondary structure includes four short double-helical elements and three loops (D, anti-codon, and T loops). The record is from RNAcentral. Lineage: Bacteria; Bacillati; Bacillota; Clostridia; Eubacteriales; Oscillospiraceae. RNAcentral also lists the same sequence under 1 other name.